AACGGCAAAGCGUCGUGCAAGUAGCGAAGCAAGGUGCCGUGCGCAUGGGGUGAAGCUUAGUAAGUUGUUGGUUGCCAUCGAUUGUUGUGGGUUGUGUCUAGAAUCUCUCGUGGCGGCUGAUGGCUUUCGACAAAGAACGGCGGAGCCUCGUGCAAGUAGCGCCGCAAGGUGCCGUGCGCAUGGCGCAAAGCUCAGUAGAUGUCGAUUGCCAUCGGUUGUUGUGGGCAACAUCGCUCAUGGCGGUUGAUGGCUUUCGGCAAUGGAACGGCGGAGCAUCUACAAGUAGCGCCGCAAGGUGUCGUGCGCAUGGGGCAAAGUCAGGACAUGGCAGUGCGUGGCCAUGGCACGAGUCGAGACGUCGCAGGCCAUGGCAGGGCGUGGCCAUGGCACGUGUCAGGACGCAUCAGGACAUGGCCAUGGCACUUGUCAUAAGGUUUCAGGACAUGAUAGGGCGUGUCCAUGGCACGAGUCGGGACAUCGCAGGGACAUGGCAAUGGCACGCNNNNNNNGCGCAUGGGGCGAAGCUUAGUAAGUUGCCUAUUGCCAUCGAUUGUUGUGGGUUGUGUCUCCGUGGCGGCUUAUGGCUUUUGACAACGAACGACGGAGCAUCCUGCAAGUAGCGCCGCAAGGUGCCGUGCGCACGGGGUGAAGCUCACUAGAUGUUCAUUGCCAUCGGUUGUAGCGGGAAACAUCGGGAGGCAACAUCGCUCGUGGCAGCUGGUGGAUUUUUGCAACAAAAUGGCAAAGCAUCGUGCAAGUAGCACCGCAAGGUGCCGUGCCCAUGAGGCGAAGCUUAGUAAUUUGCCGAUUGCCAUCGGUUGUUGCGGGCAACAUCGGGAGGCGACAUUGCUCAUGGCGGCUGUUGGCUUUUGGCAACAAAAUGGCAAAGCAUCGUGCAAUUAGCGCCGCAAGGUGCCGUGCCCACGAGGCGAAGCUUAGUAAGUUGCCGAUUGCCAUCGGUUGUUGUGGGCAACAUCGGGAGGCGACAUUGCUUGUGGCGGAUGAUGGCUUUUGGCAACAAAAUGACAGAGCAUCGUGCAAGUAGUGCCGCAAGGUGCCGUGCGCACGAGGCGAAGCUUAGUAAGUUGCCGAUUUCCAUCGGUUGUUGCGGGCAACAUCGGGAGGCGACAUCGCUCAUGGCAGCUGAUGUCUUUUGGCAACAAAAUGUCAAAGCAUCGUGCAAGUAGCGCCGCAAGGUGCAGUGCGCACGAGGCGAAGCUUACUAAGUUGUUGAUUGCCAUUGGUUGUUGCGGGCAACAUCGGGAGGCGACAUCGCUCAUGGCGGCUGAUCGCUUUUAACAACAAAAUGGCAAAGCAUCGUGCAAUUAGCGCCGCAAGGUGCCAUGCGCACGGGGCGAAGCUUAGUAAGCUGCUUAUUGCCAUCGGUUGUUGCGGGCAACAUUGGGAGGCGACAUCGCUCAUGGCGGCUGAUGGCUUUUGGCAACAAAAUGGCAAAGCAUCGUGCAAGUAGCGCCGCAAGGUGCCGUGCGCACGAGGCCUCAUGGCGGCUGAUGGCUUUUGGCAACAAAAUGGCAAAGCAUCGUGCAAGUAGCGCCGCAAGGUGCUGUGCGCACGAGGCGAAGCUUAGUAAGUUGCCGAUUGCCAUCGGUUGUUGCGGGCAACAUCAGGAGGCGAUAUCGCUCGUGGAAGCUGAUGGCUUUUGGCAACAAAAUGGAAAAGCAUCAUGCAAGUAGCGCCGCAAGGUGCAGUGCGCACGAGGCGAAGCUUACUAAGUUGUUGAUUGCCAUCGGUUGGUGCAGGCAAUAUCGGGAGGCGACAUCGCUCAUGGAGGCUGAUGGCUUUUGGCAACAAAAUGCAAAGCAUCGUGCAAAUAGCGCCGCAAGGUGUCGUGCGCACGAGGUGAAGCUUAGUAAGUUGCCGAUUGCCAUCGGUUGUUGCGGGUAACAUCGGGAGGCGACAUCGCUCGUGGCGCCUGAUGGCUUCUCAGGUGCUUGCUGAGGCUGAUGGCUUUUGGCAACAAAAUGCAAAGCAUCGUGCAAAUAGCGCCGCAAGGUGUCGUGCGCACGAGGUGAAGCUUAGUAAGUUGCCGAUUGCCAUCGGUUGUUGCGGGUAACAUCGGGAGGCGACAUCGCUCGUGGCGCCUGAUGGCUUUUGGCAACAAUAUUGCAAAGCAUCAUGCAAGUAGUGCCACAAGGUGCCGUGCACACGAGGCUAAGCUGAGUAAGUUGUCGAUUGCCAUCAGUUGUUGUAGGUUGUGUCUGGCAUUGUUCAAACCCCGUAUUUGUGCUUUGCGAGGCUUGUCUUGGCUUUGCAAUGUUGGCAUCGGCAACAACACAUGGCUGCGCGUCACGUGUUGGGGCUUGUGUUGGCUUUGUAUCGGCGAGGCAAGUGUACGUGCGGCACAUGAGUGUGUUCGGCUUGUGUGGCUAGGUUAGAUCCCUGCUCGAGAAGCGACGUCCUAGCUCGCAUGCCAUCUCAGUCAUGUCACAAGCGCAAAUAAGGCUUGUUCAACGUCGGGUUUCUGUGUUGCAUACCUAAUGACAAGGCAUCAUUAAGCACAAUCGUGUGUUGGGGUGGUGUAGGCUUUGUAUCGGCGAGGCAAGUGUACGUGCGGAACAUGAGUGGUGUUCGGCUUGUAAGGCUAGGUUCGCUUUUGGCAAUGAACGGUGGAGCGUCAUGCAAGUAGUGCCGCAAGGUGCCGUGUGCAUGGGGCGAAGCUUAGUACUUGUUUAUCGCCAUUGGAUGUUGCGAGAAAAAAUGUGAGGCGACAUCGCUUAUGGCGGCUGAAGGCUUUUGACAACAGAACGGCGAAGUGUCGUGAAAGUAGCCCUGGAACGUGCCGAGCGCAUGGGGCAAAGUUUAGUAAGUUUUUGUUGAUUGCCAUCGGUCUUUGUGGGUUGUGUCUGGAAUCUCUCGUGGCGGCCGAUGGCUUUCGACAAUGAACAGCGGAGCCUUGUGCAAGUAGCGCCGCAAGGUGCCGUGCGCAUGGGGCGAAGCUCAAUAGAUGUCGAUUGCCAUCGGUUGUUGCAGGCAACAAUGCUCAUGACGGUUGAUGGCUUUUGGCAAUGGAACGACGGGGUCGUGCAAUUAGCGUCGUAUGGUGCCGUGCGCACAGGGCGAAGCUUAGUAAGUUGCUGAUUGCCAUCGGUUGUUGCGGGCAACAUCAGGAGGCGACAUUGCUCGUGGCGGUUGAUUGCUUUUGGCAACAAAAUGGCAAAGCAUCGUGCAAGUAGCGCCGCAAGGUGCCGUGCGCAAGGGGCGAAGCUUAGUAUGUUGCAGAUUGCCAUCGUUUGUUGCGGGAAAAAUCGGGAGGUAACAACGCUCAUGGCGGCUGAUGGCUUUUGGCAAUGGAAGCGCCGCAAGGUGCAGUGCGCACGAGGCGAAGCAUACUAAGUUGUUGAUUGCCAUCGGUUGUUGCGGGCAACAUCGGGAGGCGACAUCGCUCAUGGCCGCUGAUGGCUUUUGGCAACAAAAUGGCAAAGCAUCGUGCAAGUAGC
Molecule: long non-coding RNA, 3458 nt
Filed under: Nicotiana benthamiana
Lineage: Eukaryota; Viridiplantae; Streptophyta; Magnoliopsida; Solanales; Solanaceae
Description: long non-coding RNA (NBEN_LNC026167)
Source: RNAcentral